AGCGAACGCUGGCGGCAGGCUUAACACAUGCAAGUCGAACGGGCGUAGCAAUACGUCAGUGGCAGACGGGUGAGUAACGCGUGGGAACGUACCUUUUGGUUCGGAACAACCCAGGGAAACUUGGGCUAAUACCGGAUAAGCCCUUACGGGGAAAGAUUUAUCGCCGAAAGAUCGGCCCGCGUCUGAUUAGCUAGUUGGUGAGGUAACGGCUCACCAAGGCGACGAUCAGUAGCUGGUCUGAGAGGAUGAUCAGCCACAUUGGGACUGAGACACGGCCCAAACUCCUACGGGAGGCAGCAGUGGGGAAUCUUGCGCAAUGGCCGAAAGGCUGACGCAGCGACGCCGCGUGUGGGAUGAAGCAUUUCGGUGUGUAAACCACUGUUGCCCGGGACGAACAUCCUCUUUCGAGAGGACUGACGGUACCGGGUGAGGAAGCACCGGCUAACU
RNAcentral lists this ribosomal RNA (447 nucleotides) under uncultured bacterium. RNAcentral describes it as "bacterial SSU rRNA". It matches the Rfam family "Bacterial small subunit ribosomal RNA", at positions 29 to 502 of the family's 1533-position model. The record is from RNAcentral.